GCUUGUCUCAAAGAUUAAGCCAUGCAUGUCUAAGUAUAAGCACUUUAUACUGUGAAACUGCGAAUGGCUCAUUAAAUCAGUUAUAGUUUAUUUGAUACUACCUUACUACUUGGAUAACCGUGGUAAUUCUAGUGCUAAUACAUGCAACGAUCCCCGACUUUUGAAGGGGAGUAUUUAUUAGACUUAAGCCAAUAUUCCUUGUGUCUAUUGCGAUGAUUCAUAAUAACUGAUCGAAUCUCAAAUUUGAGAUAAAUCAUUCAAGUUUCUGCCCUAUCAGCUUUCGAUGGUAGUGUAUUGGACUACCAUGGCAGUAACGGGUAACGAAGAAUUAGGGUUCGAUUUCGGAGAGGGAGCAUGAGAAACGGCUACCACAUCUAAGGAAGGCAGCAGG
RNAcentral lists this ribosomal RNA (391 nucleotides) under uncultured Scuticociliatia. Its description in RNAcentral is "partial small subunit ribosomal RNA". It matches the Rfam family "Eukaryotic small subunit ribosomal RNA", at positions 30 to 432 of the family's 1831-position model. The record is from RNAcentral. Lineage: Eukaryota; Ciliophora; Oligohymenophorea.